CUCCUCUCAGGAUUGUACCUGGAGAGUUUCCAGUACUCUUCCAGCCUCAGAUACAAGAGGGGGAGUCAAGCAGAGGCAUACCCAUUCUACUUCUAGCUUGGACAGUGGCUUUUGAGUGGAAGGCAGUCUGUUCCAAGU
Ornithorhynchus anatinus (platypus) is the source of this 138-nucleotide small nucleolar RNA. NCBI's taxonomy places the organism in Eukaryota, Metazoa, Chordata, Mammalia, Monotremata, Ornithorhynchidae. The record is from RefSeq and is a predicted model, not a curated record.